UAACAAGGAUUCCCCUAGUAACUGCGAGUGAAGCGGGAAGAGCUCAAAUUUAAAAUCUGGCGGUUUCACCGUCCGAGUUGUAAUCUGGAGAAGCAUUUUCCGCGUUGGACCGUGUACAAGUCUCUUGGAAUAGAGCGUCGUAGAGGGUGAGAAUCCCGUCCAUGACACGGACUACCAGUGCUUUGUGAUAUGCUCUCAAAGAGUCGAGUUGUUUGGGAAUGCAGCUCAAAAUGGGUGGUAAAUUCCAUCUAAAGCUAAAUAUUGGCGAGAGACCGAUAGCGAACAAGUACCGUGAGGGAAAGAUGAAAAGCACUUUGGAAAGAGAGUUAAACAGUACGUGAAAUUGUUGAAAGGGAAACGCUUGAAGUCAGUCGCAUUGUCCGGGACUCAGCCUUGCUAUUUGCUUGGUGUAUUUCCUGGUUGAUGGGUCAACAUCAAUUUUGGCUGGUGGAUAAAGGCUGAGAGAAGGUGGCAUCUUCGGAUGUGUUAUAGCUCUCGGUUGUAUACGCUGGCUGGGAUUGAGGUCUGCAGCACGCCUUUUGGCCGGGGUUCGCCCACGUAACGUGCUUAGGAUGUUGGCAUAAUGGCUUUAAGCGACCCGUCUUGAAACACGGACCAAGGAGUCUAACAUGCCUGCGAGUAUUAGAGUGGAAAACUCUUGUGCGAAAUGAAAGUGAAAGUUGGGACUUUUCGCGAAGGCACCAACGCCCGGCCCUGAAGUUUACUGACGGUGCUGCGGUAGAGCAUGUAUGUUGGGACCCGAAAGAUGGUGAACUAUGCCUGAAUAGGGUGAAGCCAGGGGAAACUCUGGUGGAGGCUCGUAGCGAUUCUGACGUGCAAAUCGAUCGUCAAAUUUGGG
RNAcentral lists this ribosomal RNA (859 nucleotides) under Lyomyces crustosus. RNAcentral describes it as "partial large subunit ribosomal RNA". It matches the Rfam family "Eukaryotic large subunit ribosomal RNA", at positions 66 to 915 of the family's 3401-position model. Lineage: Eukaryota; Fungi; Basidiomycota; Agaricomycetes; Hymenochaetales; Schizoporaceae. The record is from RNAcentral.